GACGAACGCUGGCGGCGUGCCUAAUACAUGCAAGUUGAGCGCUGAAGGUUGGUACUUGUACCAACUGGAUGAGCAGCGAACGGGUGAGUAACGCGUGGGGAAUCUGCCUUUGAGCGGGGGACAACAUUUGGAAACGAAUGCUAAUACCGCAUAAAAACUUUAAACACAAGUUUUAAGUUUGAAAGAUGCAAUUGCAUCACUCAAAGAUGAUCCCGCGUUGUAUUAGCUAGUUGGUGAGGUAAAGGCUCACCAAGGCGAUGAUACAUAGCCGACCUGAGAGGGUGAUCGGCCACAUUGGGCCUGAGACACGGCCCAAACUCCUACGGGAGGCAGCAGUAGGGAAUCUUCGGCAAUGGACGAAAGUCUGACCGAGCAACGCCGCGUGAGUGAAGAAGGUUUUCGGAUCGUAAAACUCUGUUGGUAGAGAAGAACGUUGGUGAGAGUGGAAAGCUCAUCAAGUGACGGUAACUACCCAGAAAGGGACGGCUAACUACG
This 495-nucleotide ribosomal RNA is filed under the name uncultured bacterium. Its description in RNAcentral is "partial 16S ribosomal RNA". It matches the Rfam family "Bacterial small subunit ribosomal RNA", at positions 28 to 505 of the family's 1533-position model. The record is from RNAcentral.